GCGGCGGCGUGCUUAACACAUGCAAGUCGAGCGGUAAGGCCUUUCGGGGUACACGAGCGGCGAACGGGUGAGUAACACGUGGGUGAUCUGCCCUGCACUUCGGGAUAAGCCUGGGAAACUGGGUCUAAUACCGGAUAUGACCUCCUAUCGCAUGGUGGGUGGUGGAAAGAUUUAUCGGUGCAGGAUGGGCCCGCGGCCUAUCAGCUUGUUGGUGGGGUAAUGGCCUACCAAGGCGACGACGGGUAGCCGACCUGAGAGGGUGACCGGCCACACUGGGACUGAGACACGGCCCAGACUCCUACGGGAGGCAGCAGUGGGGAAUAUUGCACAAUGGGCGAAAGCCUGAUGCAGCGACGCCGCGUGAGGGACGACGGCCUUCGGGUUGUAAACCUCUUUCAGCAGGGACGAAGCGCAAGUGACGGUACCUGCAGAAGAAGCACCGGCUAACUACGUGCCAGCAGCCGCGGUAAUACGUAGGGUGCAAGCGUUGUCCGGAAUUACUGGGCGUAAAGAGUUCGUAGGCGGUUUGUCACGUCGUUUGUGAAAACUCACAGCUCAACUGUGAGCCUGCAGGCGAUACGGGCAGACUUGAGUACUGCAGGGGAGACUGGAAUUCCUGGUGUAGCGGUGAAAUGCGCAGAUAUCAGGAGGAACACCGGUGG
RNAcentral lists this ribosomal RNA (662 nucleotides) under actinobacterium KV-408. RNAcentral's name for it is "bacterial SSU rRNA". It matches the Rfam family "Bacterial small subunit ribosomal RNA", at positions 35 to 715 of the family's 1533-position model. Lineage: Bacteria; Bacillati; Actinomycetota; Actinomycetes. The record is from RNAcentral.